AUUGAACGCUUGCGGCAGGCCUAACACAUGCAAGUCGAGCGGAUGACGGGAGCUUGCUCCUUGAUUCAGCGGCGGACGGGUGAGUAAUGCCUAGGAAUCUGCCUGGUAGUGGGGGACAACGUUUCGAAAGGAACGCUAAUACCGCAUACGUCCUACGGGAGAAAGCAGGGGACCUUCGGGCCUUGCGCUAUCAGAUGAGCCUAGGUCGGAUUAGCUAGUAGGUGAGGUAAUGGCUCACCUAGGCGACGAUCCGUAACUGGUCUGAGAGGAUGAUCAGUCACACUGGAACUGAGACACGGUCCAGACUCCUACGGGAGGCAGCAGUGGGGAAUAUCGGACAAUGGGCGAAAGCCUGAUCCAGCCAUGCCGCGUGUGUGAAGAAGGUCUUCGGAUUGUAAAGCACUUUAAGUUGGGAGGAAGGGCAGUAAGUUAAUACCUUGCUGUUUUGACGUUACCGACAGAAUAAGCACCGGCUAACUCUGUGCCAGCAGCCGCGGUAAUACAGAGGGUGCAAGCGUUAAUCGGAAUUACUGGGCGUAAAGCGCGCGUAGGUGGUUCGUUAAGUUGGAUGUGAAAGCCCCGGGCUCAACCUGGGAACUGCAUCCAAAACUGGCGAGCUAGAGUAUGGUAGAGGGUGGUGGAAUUUCCUGUGUAGCGGUGAAAUGCGUAGAUAUAGGAAGGAACACCAGUGGCGAAGGCGACCACCUGGACUGAUACUGACACUGAGGUGCGAAAGCGUGGGGGGCAAACAGGAUUAGAUACCCUGGUAGUCCACGCCGUAAACGAUGUCAACUAGCCGUUGGAAUCCUUGAGAUUUUAGUGGCGCAGCUAACGCAUUAAGUUGACCGCCUGGGGAGUACGGCCGCAAGGUUAAAACUCAAAUGAAUUGACGGGGGCCCGCACAAGCGGUGGAGCAUGUGGUUUAAUUCGAAGCAACGCGAAGAACCUUACCAGGCCUUGACAUGCAGAGAACUUUCCAGAGAUGGAUUGGUGCCUUCGGGAACUCUGACACAGGUGCUGCAUGGCUGUCGUCAGCUCGUGCCGUGAGAUGUUGGGUUAAGUCCCGUAACGAGCGCAACCCUUGUCCUUAGUUACCAGCACGUUAUGGUGGGCACUCUAAGGAGACUGCCGGUGACAAACCGGAGGAAGGUGGGGAUGACGUCAAGUCAUCAUGGCCCUUACGGCCUGGGCUACACACGUGCUACAAUGGUCGGUACAGAGGGUUGCCAAGCCGCGAGGUGGAGCUAAUCUCACAAAACCGAUCGUAGUCCGGAUCGCAGUCUGCAACUCGACUGCGUGAAGUCGGAAUCGCUAGUAAUCGCAGAUCAGAAUGUUGCGGUGAAUACGUUCCCGGGCCU
Molecule: ribosomal RNA, 1358 nt
Filed under: uncultured bacterium
Lineage: Bacteria
Description: bacterial SSU rRNA
Rfam family: Bacterial small subunit ribosomal RNA
Source: RNAcentral